This 560-nucleotide ribosomal RNA is filed under the name Fusarium acuminatum. Its description in RNAcentral is "eukaryotic LSU rRNA". The stretch from base 198 to 351 matches the Rfam family "5.8S ribosomal RNA". Lineage: Eukaryota; Fungi; Ascomycota; Sordariomycetes; Hypocreales; Nectriaceae. The record is from RNAcentral.
AAGUCGUAACAAGGUCUCCGUUGGUGAACCAGCGGAGGGAUCAUUACCGAGUUUACAACUCCCAAACCCCUGUGAACAUACCUUAAUGUUGCCUCGGCGGAUCAGCCCGCGCCCCGUAAAACGGGACGGCCCGCCAGAGGACCCAAACUCUAAUGUUUCUUAUUGUAACUUCUGAGUAAAACAAACAAAUAAAUCAAAACUUUCAACAACGGAUCUCUUGGUUCUGGCAUCGAUGAAGAACGCAGCAAAAUGCGAUAAGUAAUGUGAAUUGCAGAAUUCAGUGAAUCAUCGAAUCUUUGAACGCACAUUGCGCCCGCUGGUAUUCCGGCGGGCAUGCCUGUUCGAGCGUCAUUUCAACCCUCAAGCCCCCCGGGUUUGGUGUUGGGGAUCGGCUCUGCCCUUCUGGGCGGUGCCGCCCCCGAAAUACAUUGGCGGUCUCGCUGCAGCCUCCAUUGCGUAGUAGCUAACACCUCGCAACUGGAACGCGGCGCGGCCAUGCCGUAAAACCCCAACUUCUGAAUGUUGACCUCGGAUCAGGUAGGAAUACCCGCUGAACUUAA